AUGCGCAAGGAGCUACGAUGUAUCGAUUUUUUUAUAUCGAUCCUAUUGAUUGCUGCAAGUUGUGCCCACGGUCACCAGUCAAAGAACCACUCAGAGAUUGAUAAUCCUGUGGUGGAGUUUUUAAACGCCAAGAAUGAACAGCCACUUCGGCGGAUCAAUGUCAAUGAGCACUUCGACCCGUUAAGCAACAAUCAGCUUAAAACAGAACUCUUCUCCACGGACAGUUGCGAGGUAAAGGAUGGCCAUUACAGCUGCUGUGCCAUUCUCAAGCUGGCAGCUAUGGAUGUUCGUGAGCCGGUUUGCAUCGACUUUUCACCUAAAAAUCGAUCUACCGAGAUUUCAACCUUAAAAAGGAACGUGGAGUUGUUUGAAACGUCUCUAAGUGUUGGGAUGACACGCGCCUCGAUGACACAACGGUUUGAUUUAAAACCAGGAGAUUACUUGCAAAAUAUCUCAUUUCCACUUUGCAUACCCUGGUUCCCUGUCAUAACGGUUUGCGUGAAUGUUCACAACAUAACUUACGAUUUCACAAAUAUGUCAAUUAGAAGUUGUUUUAUGCUAACUGUUGGAAUCGUGAAUUUCCCAAUAAAUUUAUUUGCUCUAGAUUUAGACUGUAUAAAGUAUGCAAACCGAACAAUCGUCAAAGAGCCGCUGAACCAUCAAACACACCAGUCAAAUCAAACUGUUAAACCACAUGAGUUGGAUUAUCAAAACAAAGAACAUUUAACAUUUAAUUCACAGAUGAGUGAUUUAAGACCAAAUGUCGUACAAAACAGUCAUCGCAAGGGGGUUUACUUUGAAGAUCGUCCUAAAAGAAGUAUAUCCUUGAUGCAAUCUUCUCCACACCGAACGGCAGAUCCGAGUAUGAAUUCACAUCUAUCUUCUCUUCCGCCAAAACAAAUAAAGCAAACUAAUAUUACACCAUCAGACUUGAAAGUGAUCAAGCGCUCCCUUCGAUCGCAGGAUCCCCGCCCGGUGGAGCAACCCGCCAUCCUUCCGAGACAACUAGAAACACGCAAAGAGAAGCGGGACGUGCCCAAACUUCCUCCUAGAAGAGAAUAUCUACCAGAUGACCACAGACUUCGUAAUAGGCAGCAGCAAUCUAGACAGUUCCUCGCCGUAUUGAAUCUUGAAAGGACGUGGCCCCAUCAAUUUUUCAUCAGAUGA
This 1167-nucleotide long non-coding RNA is filed under the name Bemisia tabaci. RNAcentral's name for it is "lncRNA ENSSSA1UGG002827". Lineage: Eukaryota; Metazoa; Arthropoda; Insecta; Hemiptera; Aleyrodidae. The record is from RNAcentral.